This 1460-nucleotide ribosomal RNA is filed under the name Legionella pneumophila. RNAcentral describes it as "partial 23S ribosomal RNA". It matches the Rfam family "Bacterial large subunit ribosomal RNA", at positions 1 to 1503 of the family's 2925-position model. Lineage: Bacteria; Pseudomonadati; Pseudomonadota; Gammaproteobacteria; Legionellales; Legionellaceae. The record is from RNAcentral.
GGUCAAGAAGAGAAGCGCAAACGGUGGAUGCCUUGGCAGUAAGAGGCGAAGAAGGACGUGGAAUCCUGCGAAAAGCUAUGGGGAGCUGGAAACGAGCGUUGAGCCAUAGAUGUCCGAAUGGGGGAACCCGGCUGCAGCGAUGCGGUCAUUUGCAUUUGAAUACAUAGGAUGCAAAGGCGAACUCGGGGAACUGAAACAUCUAAGUACCCGAAGGAAAAGAAAUCAAUAGAGAUUCUCCAAGUAGCGGCGAGCGAACGGGGAGGAGCCUGGCGUGAUUUAUUAUUGAAUUGAGUAGAACAACUUGGGAAGGUUGGCCAUAGAGGGUGAAAGCCCCGUAUACGAAGGUUUGAUGAGGAACUAGGCACGCGAGCAAGUAGGCCGGGACACGUGAAAUCCUGGUUGAAGAUGGGUGGACCAUCAUCCAAGGCUAAAUACUACUUACUGACCGAUAGUGAACCAGUACCGUGAGGGAAAGGUGAAAAGAACCCCGGAGAGGGGAGUGAAAUAGAAUCUGAAACCGUUUGCGUACAAGCAGUGGGAGCAUGGUUUAGGCUGUGUGACUGCGUACCUUUUGUAUAAUGGGUCAGCGAGUUACUUUCAGUGGCGAGGUUAACUGCAUAAGGGAGCCGUAGAGAAAUCGAGUCUGAAUAGGGCGAUAGUCGCUGGGAGUAGACCCGAAACCGGGCGAUCUAGCCAUGUGCAGGAUGAAGGUUGGGUAACACCAACUGGAGGUCCGAACCGGGUAAUGUUGAAAAAUUAUCGGAUGACGUGUGGCUAGGAGUGAAAGGCUAAUCAAGCCCGGAGAUAGCUGGUUCUCCCCGAAAGCUAUUUAGGUAGCGCCUCGUGAAUGAUUACUGGGGGUAGAGCACUGUUUCGGCUAGGGGGCUGUCAUGGCUUACCAAACCGAUGCAAACUCCGAAUACCGGCUAAUUGGAUCACGGGAGACACACGGCGGGUGCUAACGUCCGUCGUGGAGAGGGAAACAACCCAGACCGCCAGCUAAGGUCCCCAAGUACUAGUUAAGUGGGAAACGAUGUGGGAAGGCAUAGACAGCCAGGAGGUUGGCUUAGAAGCAGCCACCCUUUAAAGAAAGCGUAAUAGCUCACUGGUCGAGUCGGCCUGCGCGGAAGAUGUAACGGGGCUAAAACUAGUCACCGAAGCUGCGGAUGUGCGCGAAGGCGCACGUGGUAGGGGAGCGUUCUGUAGGCUGAUGAAGGUGCAUUGAGAGGUGUGCUGGAGGUAUCAGAAGUGCGAAUGCUGACAUGAGUAACGAUAAUGUGGGUGAAAAGCCCACACGCCGGAAGUCCCAGGUUUCCUGCACGACGUUAAUCGGAGCAGGGUGAGUCGGCCCCUAAGGCGAGGCUGAAGAGCGUAGUCGAUGGGAACCAGGUUAAUAUUCCUGGACUUUUUAUAAGUGGUGAAGUGGGGACGAAGAAGGCUAGGUGAGCCAGGCGUUGGUU